This 255-nucleotide ribosomal RNA is filed under the name Salmonella enterica subsp. enterica serovar Derby. RNAcentral's name for it is "partial 16S ribosomal RNA". It matches the Rfam family "Bacterial small subunit ribosomal RNA", at positions 884 to 1139 of the family's 1533-position model. RNAcentral also lists the same sequence under 1 other name. The record is from RNAcentral. Lineage: Bacteria; Pseudomonadati; Pseudomonadota; Gammaproteobacteria; Enterobacterales; Enterobacteriaceae.
GGCCGCAAGGUUAAAACUCAAAUGAAUUGACGGGGGCCCGCACAAGCGGUGGAGCAUGUGGUUUAAUUCGAUGCAACGCGAAGAACCUUACCUGGUCUUGACAUCCACAGAACUUUCCAGAGAUGGAUUGGUGCCUUCGGGAACUGUGAGACAGGUGCUGCAUGGCUGUCGUCAGCUCGUGUUGUGAAAUGUUGGGUUAAGUCCCGCAACGAGCGCAACCCUUAUCCUUUGUUGCCAGCGAUUAGGUCGGGAACU